RNAcentral lists this ribosomal RNA (253 nucleotides) under uncultured bacterium. RNAcentral describes it as "partial 16S ribosomal RNA". It matches the Rfam family "Archaeal small subunit ribosomal RNA", at positions 474 to 727 of the family's 1478-position model. The record is from RNAcentral.
UACCAGCACCCCGAGUGGUCGGGACGUUUAUUGGGCCUAAAGCAUCCGUAGCCGGUUCUACAAGUCUUCCGUUAAAUCCAACUGCUUAACAGGUGGGCUGCGGAAGAUACUAUAGAGCUAGGAGGCGGGAGAGGCAAGCGGUACUCGAUGGGUAGGGGUAAAAUACCGUUCGAUCCAUUGAAGACCACCAGUGGCGAAGGCGGCUUGCCAGAACGCGCUCGACGGUGAGGAUGAAGCUGGGGGAGCAAACCGG